AUGGCUCGCGGUGAUCAUCAAAAUGAUGAUGAUGAUUUCAUGGAUCCACCACAGCAGAAUCGGGCAACUGGACGGAGAAAAGACAGCGACGGGAAGAAGAAACGUACUCGCAACAGGGCCUCGCAGGAACGACUGACUUCAUUAACUGACAGAUUUACCGACGAUCAGAAGGGAGCUGCUGCUGAGAUGGGUAUGCAGGCUCUGAUGGAUGUCCGGUGCACGAAUCUAGUCAACCCUGUAUGCGACUGGCUUGGUGAGAUUUACGACCCCGCCUUCAGGGAAUUUGUGAUUUCGGGACGUGGAAGACUGCCGUUGAACGAGGAAUCCGUGUUCUGCACUUUGGGUGUGCCCCAUGGAGAAAUCAAAGUCCCGUAUGAGGCCAUGACAACCCAUGGCGAGGUUUUUAAGACGAAACUACUCAUGUGCCUCAUCUCAGCUGUUUUCGCGACGAUCACUUCUCUUCGCCUAAGCAACAAAUGCUUCCCCAUCCUGGCGAAACUGAAAGAUGUGAAGAACAUGAAUUGGUGUAAGUUCAUUGCUGACUUCUUGCAUGAUGCAUUCUCAAGCAAAAUGUACCAGAAGAGUUGUCGACUGCAUUUAAUGCUCAUGUACGUCGACUGUCUUGAUCUGUCCACCGUGGAUUUCACUGGGACAGGAGGCCCGCCGCCUAUGCACAAGUUUGUUGUUUCUGCGUGGACUUACGAUGCUGUCAAGGCUGUGCUUGCAGCAGACAGCCUAAUCGCCAACCAUGCUAUAGACUACAACGUGUUUGGGGGGCCUCAAAAUUUUGGAAAGUGGAUGGACGUGCACUCAGCUCCGUCUUGCCCUACUGAGGCGAGGGCACCUGUUGAGCAUCUAAUUGGGAAGUUUGCAUCCGGAAUGACCAGCUUGCUCGAGAAGAUGGUUGAGGGUUGGACGUCCCUUAAUGGCUCUGACAGCGACGCGGUUGCGAGGCAGUUCACUACAUUUGUCCCAGAACGGACACAUCGGCCAACUGGUUGCUGUGGUCAGUACGACUACAACAGUUCCCAAGAGCUUGCUGACACACAAGAUGAACUAGAUGGAGACGCUGGUCUCAACAAGGAUGAUCGCGAUGACAUGGAGAAAGUGCAACAUGAGACCGAUGAUGAUGAACAUGAUGAAGUUCGUGCAGGUGGUAAGAAGGGCAAGGAUGCACUAGAUGUCCCCCCACCGGAGAAUGUCAAAGAACAUACGGCUGCAAGAGGUGAGGGGGUGUUGCCCUCAAAGAGGGGGAGGGCUCCAGAGGAUGUUGGGCAGGGUUCUCCUGGCAAGAGGCUAGAACAACAGGCAUCCGUACAUCAGGGAGUGACGAGUCGGUAUCUGCCAGGACAGCUGAAAUAUUGCCCACUCUUCUGGCAAUGA
RNAcentral lists this ribosomal RNA (1383 nucleotides) under Triticum aestivum (bread wheat). RNAcentral describes it as "partial small subunit ribosomal RNA". Lineage: Eukaryota; Viridiplantae; Streptophyta; Magnoliopsida; Poales; Poaceae. The record is from RNAcentral.